CAGCCGCCGCGGUAAUACCGGCGGCCCGAGUGGCGGUCACUAUUAUUGGGCUUAAAGCGUCCGUAGCCGGGUUGGGAAGUCCUCCGGGAAAUCUGGCCGCUUAACGGUCAGAAUGCCGGAGGAUACUCCCAGCCUAGGGAGCGGGAGAGGCCGAGGGGAUUCCCGGGGUAGGGGGGAAAUCCUAUAAUCCCGGGAGGACCACCUGUGGCGAAAGCGCUCGGCUGGAACGCGCCCGACGGUGAGGGGCGAAAGCCGGGGGAGCGAACCGGAUUAGAUACCCGGGUAGUCCCGGCUGUAAACGAUGCGGGCUAGCUGUUGGGUGGGCUUAGAGCCCACCCAGUGGCGCAGGGAAGCCGUUAAGCCCGCCGCCUGGGGAGUACGGCCGCAAGGCUGAAACUUAAAGGAAUUGGCGGG
Molecule: ribosomal RNA, 414 nt
Filed under: uncultured microorganism
Description: bacterial SSU rRNA
Rfam family: Archaeal small subunit ribosomal RNA
Source: RNAcentral